Molecule: ribosomal RNA, 775 nt
Filed under: uncultured Neocallimastigales
Lineage: Eukaryota; Fungi; Neocallimastigomycota; Neocallimastigomycetes; Neocallimastigales
Description: partial large subunit ribosomal RNA
Rfam family: Eukaryotic large subunit ribosomal RNA
Source: RNAcentral
GUACACGCUGUGACUAGCAUAUCAAUAAGCGGAGGAAAAGAAACUAACAAGGAUUCCCCUAGUAACGGCGAGUGAAGCGGGAAGAGCUCAAAUUUGAAAUCUUAAAGGGUUUCCCUUUACGAAUUGUAGUUUAAAGAAGUGUUUUCUGUUGAGGUUUUGGUAAAAGUUCUUUGGAAUAGGACAUCAUAGAGGGUGAGAAUCCCGUAUUUGACCUUUACUUUCAACUUUGUGAUACACUUUCAAAGAGUCGGAUUGUUUGGGAAUGCAGUCCAAAAUGGGUGGUAAAUUUCAUCUAAAGCUAAAUAUUGGCGAGAGACCGAUAGCGAACGAGUACCGUGAGGGAAAGAUGAAAAGAACUUUGAAAAGAGAGUUAAACAGUACGUGAAAUUGUCAAAAGGGAAGCGUUUGACACCAGUGUUGUUUUUCUGAAAAUCAAUUAAAGAACUGUUUAUGCUAAGCUGUUUAGACUUUAUCAGCUAAUCUGUUUAGUUUUGAGCUUUUCUUUAAUGCACUUUUCAGUUAACAAGUCAACAUCAAUUUCUUUUGCUGUAAAAAAGCUUGAGGAAGGUGGCUUGAGAUUCGUCUUAAGUGUUUAUAGCCUCUUGCCUAUGCAGUCGGAGAGAUUGAGGUCUGCAGCGUAGAUCCUUCGGGGCUAAAUGCAUUUGUGCUAAGUUAUAGCAUUUUAUAGACAACUUGUUGACUAUGAUUUGUCUUGUAGCUUACUCGCUUAUGUUAUUUUACCUACGCUUAGGAUGUUGACGAGACUGUCGAUCUC